This 301-nucleotide ribosomal RNA is filed under the name uncultured bacterium. RNAcentral describes it as "partial 16S ribosomal RNA". It matches the Rfam family "Bacterial small subunit ribosomal RNA", at positions 509 to 809 of the family's 1533-position model. The record is from RNAcentral.
CAGUCGCCGCGGGAAUACGAAGGUCCCGAGCGUUGUUCGGAAUCACUGGGCGUAAAGGGAGCGUAGGCGGCGUGGUAAGUUAGAUGUGAAAUCCCGGGGCUCAACCCCGGAACUGCAUCCGAUACUGCCAUGCUAGAGGAUUGGAGAGGUAGCUGGAAUUCUUGGUGUAGCAGUGAAAUGCGUGGAGAUCAAGAGGAACACUCGUGGCGAAAGCGAGCUACUGGACAAUAACUGACGCUGAGGCUCGAAGGCCAGGGUAGCGAAAGGGAUUAGAUACCCUGUAGUCCCUGUCUCUUAUACA